This 302-nucleotide long non-coding RNA is filed under the name Manacus vitellinus (golden-collared manakin). RNAcentral describes it as "lncRNA (ENSMVIG00005012321.1)". The record is from RNAcentral. Lineage: Eukaryota; Metazoa; Chordata; Aves; Passeriformes; Pipridae.
GUAACCCAGGAAGGAGAAGGAUGUGGGUCCUGUGCACAGCUGACCUCACCUGGGCUUGACACAGCCGUGAACCUCUGGCCCCAGCUCAGAGGAUAAGGAUGCAUAUCUACAAAGAUUGACUAAUCAUGUUGAUGUGACUGGACCAACUUUCAAUAAUGACAUUGGAGAAUAACUGCAGAAGCUAUCAUCUUCUCCAGGGGACUCCAGGGGAUGGCUCUUACCUCGGAGUGGCCAGAGCUCCUUACUGAAGGGAAAUGCCGUCUUCAUUUGACCAGCAUUAAUUAAUGACAGGAUUUCCCAGC